UACGUAGGGGGCGAGCGUUAUCCGGAAUUAUUGGGCGUAAAGAGUGCGUAGGUGGCCAUGUAAGCGCGGGGUGAAAGGCAAUAGCUUAACUAUUGUAAGCCUUGCGAACUGUGUGGCUUGAGUGCAGGAGAGGAAAGUGGAAUUCCUAGUGUAGCGGUGAAAUGCGUAGAUAUUAGGAGGAACACCAGUGGCGAAGGCGACUUUCUGGACUGUAACUGACACUGAGGCACGAAAGCGUGGGGAGCAAACAGGAUUAGAUACCCUGGUAGUCCACGCCGUAAACGAUGAGCACUAGGUGUCGGGGUCGCAAGACUUCGGUGCCGCAGUUAACGCAUUAAGUGCUCCGCCUGGGGAGUACGCACGCAAGUGUGAA
This 373-nucleotide ribosomal RNA is filed under the name uncultured bacterium. Its description in RNAcentral is "bacterial SSU rRNA". It matches the Rfam family "Bacterial small subunit ribosomal RNA", at positions 524 to 898 of the family's 1533-position model. The record is from RNAcentral.